Molecule: RNA transcript, 1242 nt
Organism: Chinchilla lanigera (long-tailed chinchilla)
Lineage: Eukaryota; Metazoa; Chordata; Mammalia; Rodentia; Chinchillidae
Exons: 8
Source: RefSeq, a predicted model, not a curated record
CAACAGAAACAAUGCUUAAGAUGGCUACUAAUAUACAAUGGAGUCCUGUCCAGGCCAACGGUCUCCUGUGGCCCUGCAUAGGUAACAGUGUGGCAUCAAUUACUGCGGUGCUCCAGAGAACUGCGCAGGUAAGAAGAGAACACUGCACAGGGAAGAUACAGAGCAGAUCAGGGCUAAGUGUGAUUCCUGUGUCCAUCACAUUCGGGCCUGCACUUACGGCACUUGGAAGCACAAAAGCAGCAGUUACUGACCCUGGCGAUGAUCAUUAUGCUCUGUUUCUAUUAUAUCCAAAAGAUUUCACUGAAAGCAGGAUCUCCAAGAGAUGCCUACCCUUCUACGCUUACUGCUUCAGCAUUCACAACACCAAAGUUAUGGAAACAACCCAAACCCUUCAGAAGAGAACUGCAGAACAAACUUACUAUGAUUCAGACACAUCUGAUCAAAUUCCACCUGAAGAAAGUUAUUUGGCAACAGAAACUAACCCGGUCAUCACUAGGAAGGGUUUCACGGAUGUGCUCUGGAGUGCACAGCACACACCAACAGCUAAGGGAAACAGUGGCAGUCUCAGCGUGCUGACGGCUAUAACCUGCUGCAACAUCUGGAGAUCGUUUUGAAAACUGGUUCAAAAGCUUGUACUUUCAUAUUGUAGCAUUGGCACAUUGAGAAUGGUGGUCUUUGGCCUUCCUGUCAAUGGCCUGUAACCCCAUUUAUUCCUGAGGAACAUCCUUAGAAAAUAUGUGACCAAGUACUCCACAACAUUUUCAAGUUUAUACAAAACAAGAAGUUUGAGAAACCAUGUGCACCAAAAGGAAGCUAAGGAAGGUGAUGAUUAAAUAUGAUGUAGCAGCCUGAAUAGAAUUAUGAAACAGAAAAAGAAACUUAGAACAGUCGUGGUAUAUCUAGCUGUGACAUCAUCAGAUUUUUCAAUUUGAAAAUAUCACUCUAACUAUAACGUGGAAACAGAUUGAAAGGAGGUGGUGGGAACAAUCAGCUGCAGGAAGACCAGAGAGGAAGCUAAUUCUGUCCUCCACGCAGCAGAUGAUGGGAGUCUGGACUGGAAUGGUGGAAACGCAGAGAAACGGAAAUACCCCAAAUCCUACAUUUGUAAGAAGGGUCAUUCAUAACCUGGUGACUCCAGAUGAACAUGAGGAAGUGUGCUUCGUUUUCAAGAAACAAAAAAGAAAUCAUAUCAACCACCUUUCCUUACUUUACUUGGUUUAUUUGAAUAUAUUAAUAUUUUAC